UUUCGUACGUAGCAGAGCAGCUCCCUCGCU
This 30-nucleotide non-coding RNA is filed under the name Gallus gallus (chicken). RNAcentral also lists the same sequence under 5 other names. The record is from RNAcentral. Lineage: Eukaryota; Metazoa; Chordata; Aves; Galliformes; Phasianidae.